GCCCUACAGUGACUGGCCAUAGUGAAUAGUGGAACUCCACAGGUGUGAGUCUGAUGUAUGCAAGAGAAAGUAUUUUCUAGGCAGUCCUGAGUGAACUGGCUUGUUAGAAUAUAUUUGUGCCCCUGUCUCAACAGAACUUGCUGGACCACCAGUAUCGUUGUUGUGGCCACUCCCUGAUGCAUUCUGAAGCCUGAUGUGGAGGAUUUUUUUUUAUGUAUUAAUCACUUAUAAUAUUCCUCCCUGUUCCUUCACUUUGUUCUUGUUUUUCCAGUUAGAUAUACACAUUUACACACACAUACACAUCUUGUCUCACUCAGUAUUUUUUAUUAAACAAUAUUUGAUUCAUUUA
Long non-coding RNA from Alosa alosa (allis shad), 349 nucleotides. RefSeq lists it as uncharacterized. Lineage: Eukaryota; Metazoa; Chordata; Actinopteri; Clupeiformes; Clupeidae. The transcript is spliced from 2 exons. The record is from RefSeq and is a predicted model, not a curated record.